GAUGAAGAACGUAGCGAAAUGCGAUAAGUAAUGUGAAUUGCAGAAUUCAGUGAAUCAUCGAAUCUUUGAACGCACAUUGCGCCCGCCAGUAUUCUGGCGGGCAUGCCUGUUCGAGCGUCAUUACAACCCUCAGGCCCCCGGGCCUGGCGUUGGGGAUCGGCGGAGCCCCCCGUGGGCACACGCCGUCCCCCAAAUACAGUGGCGGUCCCGCCGCAGCUUCCAUCGCGUAGUAGCUAACACCUCGCGACUGGAGAGCGGCGCGGCCACGCCGUAAAACACCCAACUCUUCUGAAGUUGACCUCGAAUCAGGUAGGAAUACCCGCUGAACUUAAGCAUAUCAAUAAGCGGAGGA
Molecule: unclassified non-coding RNA, 352 nt
Filed under: soil metagenome
Description: partial contains 5.8S ribosomal RNA, internal transcribed spacer 2, and large subunit ribosomal RNA
Rfam family: 5.8S ribosomal RNA (bases 1-120)
Source: RNAcentral